AUACGUAGGUGGCAAGCGUUGUCCGGAAUUACUGGGCGUAAAGGGCACGCAGGCGGAAUAUUAAGUCAGAUGUGUAAUCUACGGGCUUAACCUGUAGUUUGGAUCUGAUACUGGUAUACUUGAGGGUAGGAGAGGACAGUGGAAUUCCUAGUGUAGCGGUGAAAUGCGUAGAUAUUAGGAGGAACACCAGUGGCGAAGGCGGCUGUCUGGCCUACAACUGACGCUGAGGUGCGAAAGCGUGGGUAGCAAACAGGAUUAGAUACCCUGGUAGUCCACGCCGUAAACGAUAGGUACUAGGUGUGGGAGGUAUCGACCCCUUCUGUGCCGGAGUUAACACAAUAAGUACCCCGCCUGGGGACUACGGUCGCAAGACUAAA
This 377-nucleotide ribosomal RNA is filed under the name uncultured bacterium. Its description in RNAcentral is "bacterial SSU rRNA". It matches the Rfam family "Bacterial small subunit ribosomal RNA", at positions 523 to 898 of the family's 1533-position model. The record is from RNAcentral.